AUGGACUUAGGGCUUAUACUCGUUUUCUCUGUCCUUAUUUUAACAGGUGUUCAAUGUGAGGUGCAGUUGCUGGAGUCUGGUGGAGGCUUAGUGCAGCCUGGAAAGUCUCUGAAACUCUCCUGUGCAGCCUCUGGAUUCACCUUCAAUAAUUAUGAAAUGAACUGGGUCCGACAGACUCCAGGGAAAGGGUUGGAGUGGGUUGCAUACAUUAGUACUGGUGGUGGUAGCACCUACUAUCCCGACACUGUGAGGGCCGGUUCACAAUCUCCAGAGACAACACCAAGAACACUCUGCAUCUGGAAAUGAGCAGUCUGAGGUCUGAGGACACAGCCAUGUAUUACUGUGCAAGAGACACAGUGAGUGAAUGCUACUGUGGACAGUGUGACAUACAAUUGCUGGAGUCUGGUGGAGGCUUAGUGCAGCCGGGAAAGUCCCUGAAACUCUCCUGUGAAGCCUCUGGAUUCACCUUCAGUAACUACUGGGUGACUUGGGUCCGCCAGGCUCCAGGGAAGGGGCUGGAGUGGAUCGCAUACAUUCAUCCAAAUGGUGGUGCCACUGUCUAUACUGACGCUGUGAAGGGCAGGUUCACAGUUUCCAGAGACAAUGCCAAGAACACUCUGCACCUGGAAAUGAACAGUCUGAGGUCUGAAGACACAGCCAUGUAUUACUGUGCAAGAGACAAAACACAGUGA
This is a non-coding RNA of Chionomys nivalis (European snow vole), 692 nucleotides long. NCBI's taxonomy places the organism in Eukaryota, Metazoa, Chordata, Mammalia, Rodentia, Cricetidae. The record is from the annotation of a RefSeq genome assembly.